This 548-nucleotide long non-coding RNA is filed under the name Elaeis guineensis (African oil palm). Its description in RNAcentral is "long non-coding RNA (EGUI_LNC017052)". The record is from RNAcentral. Lineage: Eukaryota; Viridiplantae; Streptophyta; Magnoliopsida; Arecales; Arecaceae.
AUGGGUUGACAGCUUUGGUGUUUAUACAUUAUACUGUUAUACAUGCUGUUGGAUGUGAUACUUCGUUGUUUUUAUCAAAAAUUCAGAUAGAUUGUGAUGCCUUGUGAUACAAUGUAUGCAUUGAGAGACAUUCUAAUGCAUUAUGAUAUAUUGUGAUAGAUUGUAAUACAAGAUGACACAUUUUGAUACUAUGUGAUAUAGUAUGAUACAAGAUGGUUUACUAUCAUUAAUUAUGAUACAGAAGGCUUUGAUUUUAUUUUUAGGCAUUAUGUGGCAAUAUAUUGAGUAAUUCAUAUUUUGAUUUUAACUUUAUCAUUUUGUAUUGGGUUUGCUGCAAAAUUGAAAUGGCUGCUAUGAUUGGAUGAUAUACUAGGUUCUUUGUAGGUUACAAGUAGCCCUGAACUGCAACUGCUAAUAUGCCUCUGUUCACUUUUUUUUUUAAGUGCAAGGGUGUAUGUGCAAUUAGUUAAAAUUAGAGGGGUUAUAAGUGGAACAAACAUAAAAUACAUGGGCAGUCAGUCAUCGAACAUAUCUAAUUUUGAGGGGCA